Molecule: ribosomal RNA, 506 nt
Filed under: uncultured Gammaproteobacteria bacterium
Lineage: Bacteria; Pseudomonadati; Pseudomonadota; Gammaproteobacteria
Description: bacterial SSU rRNA
Rfam family: Bacterial small subunit ribosomal RNA
Source: RNAcentral
GACCGAUUAGCUGGUUGGUGGGGUAAAGGCCCACCAAGGCGACGAUCGGUAGCUGGUCUGAGAGGAUGAUCAGCCACACUGGGACUGAGACACGGCCCAGACUCCUACGGGAGGCAGCAGUGGGGAAUAUUGGACAAUGGGCGCAAGCCUGAUCCAGCCAUGCCGCGUGUGUGAAGAAGGCCUUCGGGUUGUAAAGCACUUUUGUCCGGAAAGAAAUCCUCCAGCCUAAUACGUUGGGGGGAUGACGGUACCGGAAGAAUAAGCACCGGCUAACUUCGUGCCAGCAGCCGCGGUAAUACGAAGGGUGCAAGCGUUACUCGGAAUUACUGGGCGUAAAGCGUGCGUAGGCGGUUUGUUAAGUCUGACGUGAAAUCCCCGGGCUCAACCUGGGACGUGCGUUGGAAACUGGCGAUCUAAGAGUACGGUAGAGGGUGGUGGAAUUCCCGGUGUAGCAGUGAAAUGCGUAGAGAUCGGGAGGAACACUCGUGGCGAAGGCGGCCACCUGG